UGCAUGUCUAAGUACAUGCCGUAUUAAGGCGAAACCGCGAAUGGCUCAUUAAAUCAGUUAUGGUUCCUUGGAUCGUACCUUACUACUUGGAUAACUGUGGCAAUUCUAGAGCUAAUACAUGCAGCAGAGCUCCGACCCUCAGGGGACGAGCGCUUUUAUUAGACCAAAACCAAUCGGACCUCGUGUCCGUCUCUUGUGGUGACUCUGUAUAACUUUGGGCUGAUCGCACGGGCCCGUCCCGGCGACGUAUCUUUCAAGUGUCUGCCUUAUCAACUUUCGAUGGUAGGUUACGCGCCUACCAUGGUCGUAACGGGUAACGGGGAAUCAGGGUUCGAUUCCGGAGAGGGAGCCUGAGAAACGGCUACCACAUCCAAGGAAGGCAGCAGGCGCGCAAAUUACCCACUCCCAGAACGGGGAGGUAGUGACGAAAAAUAACAAUACGGGACUCUUUUGAGACCCCGUAAUUGGAAUGAGUACACUUUAAAUCCUUUAACGAGGAUCCAUUAGAGGGCAAGUCUGGUGCCAGCAGCCGCGGUAAUUCCAGCUCUAAUAGCGUAUAUUAAAGUUGUUGCGGUUAAAAAGCUCGUAGUUGGAUCUCAGUUCCAGACGGGUGGUCCUCCUUACGGUGGCUACUGCCUGUUCUGAACAGCCAGCCGGUUUCUCUUGAUGAUCUUCACCGGUUGUCUUGGGUGACCGGCAAGUUUACUUUGAAAAAAUUAGAGUGCUCAAAGCAGGCGUGACGCCUGAAUAAUGGUGCAUGGAAUAAUGGAAUAGGACCUCGGUUCUAUUUUGUUGGUUUUCGGAACACGAGGUAAUGAUUAAGAGGGACAGACGGGGGCAUUCGUAUUGCGACGCUAGAGGUGAAAUUCUUGGACCGUCGCAAGACGAACUACUGCGA
This 898-nucleotide ribosomal RNA is filed under the name Mastigusa sp. RNAcentral describes it as "SSU rRNA". It matches the Rfam family "Eukaryotic small subunit ribosomal RNA", at positions 52 to 948 of the family's 1831-position model. Lineage: Eukaryota; Metazoa; Arthropoda; Arachnida; Araneae; Hahniidae. The record is from RNAcentral.